This 77-nucleotide transfer RNA is filed under the name Gammaproteobacteria bacterium. RNAcentral's name for it is "tRNA-Arg". It matches the Rfam family "tRNA". Rfam says of the family: Transfer RNA (tRNA) molecules are approximately 80 nucleotides in length. Their secondary structure includes four short double-helical elements and three loops (D, anti-codon, and T loops). The record is from RNAcentral. Lineage: Bacteria; Pseudomonadati; Pseudomonadota; Gammaproteobacteria.
GCCCCGGUAGCUCAGUCGGAUAGAGCGACGGUUUCCUAAACCGUAGGUCCCAUGUUCGAAUCAUGGUCGGGGCGCCA